CAGGCCUAACACAUGCAAGUCGAACGGCAGCACGGUAAGAGCUUGCUCUUAUGGGUGGCGAGUGGCGGACGGGUGAGGAAUACAUCGGAAUCUACCUUUUGGUGGGGGAUAACGUAGGGAAACUUACGCUAAUACCGCAUACGUCCUACGGGAGAAAGCAGGGGACCUUCGGGCCUUGCGCUAUCAGAUGAGCCUAGGUCGGAUUAGCUUGUUGGUGAGGUAAAGGCUCACCAAGGCGACGAUCCGUAACUGGUCUGAGAGGAUGAUCAGUCACACUGGAACUGAGACACGGUCCAGACUCCUACGGGAGGCAGCAGUGGGGAAUAUUGGACAAUGGGCGAAAGCUGAUCCAGCCAUGCCGCGUGUGUAAGAAGGUCUUCGGAUUGUAAAGCACUUUAAGUUGGGAGGAAGGGCAGUAAGUUAAUACCUUGCUGUUUUGACGUUACCGACAGAAUAAGCACCGGCUAACUUCGUGCCAGCAGCCGCGGUAAU
This 492-nucleotide ribosomal RNA is filed under the name uncultured Pseudomonas sp. Its description in RNAcentral is "bacterial SSU rRNA". It matches the Rfam family "Bacterial small subunit ribosomal RNA", at positions 43 to 524 of the family's 1533-position model. Lineage: Bacteria; Pseudomonadati; Pseudomonadota; Gammaproteobacteria; Pseudomonadales; Pseudomonadaceae. The record is from RNAcentral.